AAAAGAUUGGGGCACGGGACCAUAAAUGAAAAAGCUAAACUCCGACCUCCCAAAGGAGCUCAAGUCAUCAGGUAGAGAGACUUUAAUCUCACACAACAGCCAAAAGUACCAAAGCAUCAUGCCGAUCUCAAGAAAACGAGCGCAGUACUGGUAAACCCGAUAAGACAGACCGAAUUAAGGCAAGACGAUUCCUAAACAAACUGCAUACCAAAAUACAAAGCCAAACAGAGAAUCAGGGGUAAUCAUGAGAGGCAACGACCUCGAGAAUUGACCGCUCACACUAAACCAACUCAGCUGACCUAGAGAAAGAUCCAAGCAACAAAGAGCCCGUAAAACGCUCGAAAGAAGAUAGCCCAUAAAUACUCAGGGGCAAAAAACAUACACAAGAGUCCAACGCUCAGGCAAAAAUAAUAAAAGGCAAGAAAGGGAUACUUUCGACAGGAGCAGUUCUCAGACCACACGGUCAUAAAUAGAGUUUAAAGAUUUAUCCCCUCACCAGUCAUGGAAUAACUGCUGAGGAGAUAAAGGGGCAAUUGAUGAUCGCUGGAUUUCUUCACCCCGGUAUAAAGGCCAGACCCAUGAAAACAGUCCAUGAUCCGAAGGCUUCAAUAUUCCCCUCGAGAGCCAGGUCCAGCCCGCUCAGUCACAGGGCCGGACUCUGCCUAGACUCCUCAAUCAAACCGGCCCAAACUUCUCGGCCCAGUAAUCAGGCCCUCACCAGGCUCAACUACAGCCCUACCAUUCAACCCAGCCCGGAAAGGGGAAAAUGACCAAGAUGCCCCGCUGGUAGGUCCUUCCGCAUGCGUAUCAGAGGAGAAUCAUACGUAUCAGAGGAGAAUUAAUGGCCGUUACGCAUGGAGCAGGCGCCUGACACAUCCGUACAUACGGAGCUAGGCGACAGAAGACAGCUAGCAUUGUGGCAGAGAGACAGAUAUAUAUAUCACGGUAGAAGCCACGCAGAGGGGGCUCUCUUCUUCUUCCUUUUCCUUCCUGGACACCAUUUUUAUUCUUUCUGUAACCCUUGCCUAAAUAUACUACUCUGAGCCAUAAAAUCUGACUUGAGCGUCGG
This 1069-nucleotide long non-coding RNA is filed under the name Manihot esculenta (cassava). RNAcentral describes it as "long non-coding RNA (MESC_LNC012936)". Lineage: Eukaryota; Viridiplantae; Streptophyta; Magnoliopsida; Malpighiales; Euphorbiaceae. The record is from RNAcentral.